GGGAUCGGGAUUGGGAUCGGAGUUUGGGAUUGGGAUUGGGAGUUUGGGAUUGGGAGUUUGGGAUCGGGAGUUUGGGAUUGGGAGUUUGGGAUCGGGAGUUUGGGAUCGGGAUUGGGUGUUUGGGAUGGGGAUUGGGAUCGGGAGUUUGGGAUCGGGAGUUUGGGAUCAAGUGGGUUCUGGGGCUGGAUUUGGGAUUGCGUUCAAGAUUGGGUCUGGAAUUGGAUCAGGGCUUGGAUUCAGAUUCAGUUUGGGAUUGGGCUUGGGACUGGAUUUGGGAUUCAACCUGGGGUCGGAUUUGGGAUUGGGUUUGGAAUUGGAUCUGGGGUUGGAUCUGGGAUUGGGUUUGGGAUUGGGUUCAGAAUUGGGUUUUGGUUCAGAAUUGGGUUCGGGACUGGAUUUGGGAUUGGAUCUGGUGUUGGAUUCAGAUUCAGUUUGGGAUUGGAUCUGGGGUUGGGUCUGGGAUUGGAUUUGGGAUUGGAUUUGGGAUUGGAUUCAGGGAUUGGAUUCAGGGUUGGAUAUGGGAUUGAGUUUGGGACUGGAUUUGGGUUUGGGAAUGGAUUCAGAACUGGAUUUGGGAUUGGAUUUAGGACUGGAUUUGGGACUGGAUUGGGUUUGGCUCUGUCUCCAUCCAGGACAUCCCAAGGGAAUUCAGCAGCUGGAGCCAUCCCAGCGCACCGGGAACCGGAUCCAAGACAAAAAAAAAAAACCGGGAAGGGAAAAACUCCGGAGCUACUUGAGGGAAAUAUUUUUUCAUGGAAGGAAGGAUUUAUAGGGCUGGGACUGCUCUGCAGCAGAGCAACAUCUGGAACAGAUCCGUUAUCCCGUCCGAACACCGGCGAGGGGAGCCAGGGAUAAAUCCCGGCUGUCGGAACGGGGAUCCCACACACGAAGGGAAUCCGGGAUUCGGGAUUGCCCUCCCAAAUUUCCCCCAUCGGGAUUUCUCCCUUUCCCCUGGGAUUUGGGGGGGGCGGUGGGAGAACCCCAAGGAUUCCAGGGAAGCCUCUGGAAUGCUGGAAAUUUGGGAAUGGCGAUGGAAAACGGAUCCCAAAUAUGGGGAUGGCCCUGGAAAACAUUCCCUGGCAUCUGGAGCAUCCUUGGAUUCAUGGCUGGAUGGGAUGGGACCAUCCCAGAGG
RNAcentral lists this long non-coding RNA (1133 nucleotides) under Zonotrichia albicollis (white-throated sparrow). RNAcentral describes it as "lncRNA (ENSZALG00000000708.1)". The record is from RNAcentral. Lineage: Eukaryota; Metazoa; Chordata; Aves; Passeriformes; Passerellidae.